GCAUAACAGACGUAAAUGUGCUCGAACGAAACGUGUGUAAUAUAAAAACCGUAAAUUCCCUAGAAAAUACAAAAAGUUGCAAAAACAUAAACGAAAAUAAAAAAAUUUAUAUAUUUUAGUCUCUUUACACCCGUAAAGACGACUCGUGUCAAAAGAAAUAACAAAAAAAAUAUAUAAAAGAAUAAAAAAACAACAAGAAACGAGUUCGUGGUAGUAAAAAUCUACAUUUAAAUCAAUUGCGUAUCUACUUCGUGAGCAAUUUUAUUACUUUUUUUUCGCUAUUACUAUGUAUUUUUGUGCAAAUUUUGCAAAAAUAUAUGACGACGUUAACGAAUGGUUGUUUAUGAAUUAUGAUGGAUGUUUAUGUUUUACCGGCUUUUUUUCGCUGCGUGUUCUUGUUGCAAUCAGCGUAUGAGUGAUGCUCGUACAAUGAAAACAAAUUAAAUAUUUUAAUUGAACACAACACAGGUCACACAACUACAUUGUGUAUCUGUGUAAAGCUAAAAGGUCAUUGUGU
This is a long non-coding RNA of Lucilia cuprina (Australian sheep blowfly), 517 nucleotides long. RefSeq lists it as uncharacterized. The transcript has 4 exons. The record is from RefSeq and is a predicted model, not a curated record. NCBI's taxonomy places the organism in Eukaryota, Metazoa, Arthropoda, Insecta, Diptera, Calliphoridae.